GAGGCGCUAGUCCAACCAAGACACCUGAUUUCGACUCAGCCAAUUAUGGUUUAAACCCAUAGCCCCUCU
RNAcentral lists this transfer RNA (69 nucleotides) under Buergeria buergeri (Buerger's frog). RNAcentral's name for it is "tRNA-Arg". It matches the Rfam family "tRNA". From Rfam's summary of the family: Transfer RNA (tRNA) molecules are approximately 80 nucleotides in length. Lineage: Eukaryota; Metazoa; Chordata; Amphibia; Anura; Rhacophoridae. The record is from RNAcentral.